Long non-coding RNA from Bubalus bubalis (water buffalo), 965 nucleotides. RefSeq lists it as uncharacterized. The record is from RefSeq and is a predicted model, not a curated record. The transcript is spliced from 3 exons. Lineage: Eukaryota; Metazoa; Chordata; Mammalia; Artiodactyla; Bovidae.
AGGCAGUUUCUUUACCACAGCGCCACUGCACAUCAGGGACUAUGAGCCCAGACCUUAAUGGAUGCUUAACGAAUAUUUGUUAAAUGAGGGCACGAAUUCUAGAGAUGGUUACAUAUUUUGCUUCCUGAAAGACCUACAACUCUUCUUCGAGAGGAUCUGAUUAUCUCCCUGUUAGAGAUGGGGGAGUUUGAAGACCAGAACGAGGUUAGCAUCUUUCCGGGGUCACAGAGAAGCAGAGUUGUGAGCUGAGCUUCAGCCUUUGGAGCAUGGCCCAUUCUGCCAGUCACCCCAUCCUCACUACCAUUAUCUUUUCACUUCUGAAGGUUACUUGGUUUCUUGAGUCAAGGAAGGUUUUGCAAGAAGGAAGAUCCCCGAGCUUCCUGAGUGUGGCUUGUGAUAGCUAGUCCUGCCUAGCUUCUGGCCUGUCAGCCAAAUUGGACGCUCUGCUCUGGACCAAUAAGGAGGCAGACGUGGUGGCCGAUGAGCAGGAGGAUUCCAGGAUAGGCUUCCAGACCUCCAGGGUCUGAAAUACCCCAGAAGUGCAGCAGCAAUGACCAUCAUGGCAAGCAGGCUUGCAGGCAGCCAAGGGACCAGCCAGUUGCUACUGGUGGGGGCAGAUAUCAAAACCCCAGGUGGAGAAAUUAACUACAUGAUGACCAGACUGUGUCCAGGACAUGAGCUGCCACAAUUUCAAGGACUGACUGCAAAGAAAUGGGAAAAAAUGGACCCCCAAACUGAAGAUUAACAGUACCUAAAACAACCAAGAUGAUGCCAGUCAGACCACUGAUGACCAAUUUGAAGAUGACUGUCAGGGAUGACUGUGCUCUUUCUGCAUGUAGCCCCCCACCCCCAGCUCUGUCUACAAAAGCUCUCACCCGCUGCUUGUCAGAGGGGGAGUCAGCCUUUGGACAGAUGUCUGCCACCCUCUCCCACAGUUGCUGACAUCUGAAAUAAAGCACUUUCCU